This 426-nucleotide ribosomal RNA is filed under the name uncultured Achromobacter sp. RNAcentral's name for it is "bacterial SSU rRNA". It matches the Rfam family "Bacterial small subunit ribosomal RNA", at positions 356 to 774 of the family's 1533-position model. Lineage: Bacteria; Pseudomonadati; Pseudomonadota; Betaproteobacteria; Burkholderiales; Alcaligenaceae. The record is from RNAcentral.
GGGGAAUAUUGGACAAUGGGCGCAAGCCUGAUCCAGCCAUACCGCGUGGGUGAAGAAGGCCUUCGGGUUGUAAAGCCCUUUUGUUGGGAAAGAAAUCCAGCUGGCUAAUACCCCGCGGAACUGACGGUACCUGCAGAAUAAGCACCGGCUAACUACGUGCCAGCAGCCGCGGUAAUACGUAGGGUGCAAGCGUUAAUCGGAAUUACUGGGCGUAAAGCGUGCGCAGGCGGUUCGGAAAGAAAGAUGUGAAAUCCCAGAGCUUAACUUUGGAACUGCAUUUUUAACUACCGGGCUAGAGUGUGUCAGAGGGAGGUGGAAUUCCGCGUGUAGCAGUGAAAUGCGUAGAUAUGCGGAGGAACACCGAUGGCGAAGGCAGCCUCCUGGGAUAACACUGACGCUCAUGCACGAAAGCGUGGGGAGCAAACA